GCGGCUUGAUGACUAUGAACGUAAGUUUUAAAAAAUUGAUCAUCAGUUUGUCCGACUUCAAGUGGAAGAUCGGAAGUCUUUUAAUGACUAUGACUUCCACACUGUCCAGCCUCUCUCAGUGCAUCUCGGAUGAACUGUUUCUUUCUCGAUUCAAGAUGCCGCAAAUGGAGUCGUACGAUGGCUCCACCAACCCGAUCGAUCAUCUUGAGAGCU
This 213-nucleotide long non-coding RNA is filed under the name Elaeis guineensis (African oil palm). RNAcentral describes it as "long non-coding RNA (EGUI_LNC033549)". The record is from RNAcentral. Lineage: Eukaryota; Viridiplantae; Streptophyta; Magnoliopsida; Arecales; Arecaceae.